Molecule: ribosomal RNA, 328 nt
Filed under: uncultured eukaryote
Lineage: Eukaryota
Description: partial 18S ribosomal RNA
Rfam family: Eukaryotic small subunit ribosomal RNA
Source: RNAcentral
CCCUUAGAUGUUCGGGGCCGCACGCGCGCUACACUGAAUGAAUCAGCGAGUGUAUGUCCUAGGCCGAAAGGUCCGGGUAACCCGUUGAACCUCAUUCGUGAUUGGGAUAGGGACUUGCAAUUGUUUCCCUUGAACGAGGAAUUCCCAGUAAGCGCAAGUCAUCAGCUUGCGUUGAUUACGUCCCUGCCCUUUGUACACACCGCCCGUCGCUCCUACCGAUUGGGUGUGCUGGUGAAAUGUUCGGAUCGGCCGUUUGUCGCGGUUUCCGCGGCUCGUGGCUGAGAAGUUCAUUAAACCCUCCCACCUAGAGGAAGGAGAAGUCGUAACA